AGUGAACGCUGGCGGUAGGCCUAACACAUGCAAGUCGAACGGCAGCACAGUAAGAGCUUGCUCUUACGGGUGGCGAGUGGCGGACGGGUGAGGAAUACAUCGGAAUCUACUUUUUCGUGGGGGAUAACGUAGGGAAACUUACGCUAAUACCGCAUACGACCUACGGGUGAAAGCAGGGGAUCUUCGGACCUUGCGCGAUUGAAUGAGCCGAUGUCGGUUUAGCUAGUUGGCGGGGUAAAGGCCCACCAAGGCGACGAUCCGUAGCUGGUCUGAGAGGAUGAUCAGCCACACUGGAACUGAGACACGGUCCAGACUCCUACGGGAGGCAGCAGUGGGGAAUAUUGGACAAUGGGCGCAAGCCUGAUCCAGCCAUACCGCGUGGGUGAAGAAGGCCUUCGGGUUGUAAAGCCCUUUUGUUGGGAAAGAAAAGAAGCAGGUUAAUACCCCGCUGUUCUGACGGUACCCAAAGAAUAAGCAACGGCUAACUUCGUG
Molecule: ribosomal RNA, 492 nt
Filed under: uncultured bacterium
Lineage: Bacteria
Description: partial 16S ribosomal RNA
Rfam family: Bacterial small subunit ribosomal RNA
Source: RNAcentral